GAUGAACGCUGGCGGCGUGCCUAGUACAUGCAAGUCGAGCGAACAGACGAGGAGCUUGCUCCUCUGACGUUAGCGGCGGACGGGUGAGUAACACGUGGAUAACCUACCUAUAAGACUGGGAUAACUUCGGGAAACCGGAGCUAAUACCGGAUAAUAUAUUGAACCGCAUGGUUCAAUAGUGAAAGACGGUUUUGCUGUCACUUAUAGAUGGAUCCGCGCCGCAUUAGCUAGUUGGUAAGGUAACGGCUUACCAAGGCAACGAUGCGUAGCCGACCUGAGAGGGUGAUCGGCCACACUGGAACUGAGACACGGUCCAGACUCCUACGGGAGGCAGCAGUAGGGAAUCUUCCGCAAUGGGCGAAAGCCUGACGGAGCAACGCCGCGUGAAUGAUGAAGGUCUUCGGAUCGUAAAACUCUGUUAUUAGGGAAGAACAAAUGUGUAAGUAACUAUGCACGUCUUGACGGUACCUAAUCAGAAAGCCACGGCUAACUACGUG
This 497-nucleotide ribosomal RNA is filed under the name uncultured bacterium. RNAcentral describes it as "partial 16S ribosomal RNA". It matches the Rfam family "Bacterial small subunit ribosomal RNA", at positions 28 to 507 of the family's 1533-position model. The record is from RNAcentral.